This 221-nucleotide long non-coding RNA is filed under the name Bos taurus (domestic cattle). RNAcentral describes it as "long non-coding RNA NONBTAT015024". Lineage: Eukaryota; Metazoa; Chordata; Mammalia; Artiodactyla; Bovidae. The record is from RNAcentral.
AGCAGCACUGGGAGCCCCCGGAAGGCAGAGAGCACGCUGAGUCCUCAGAGUUGGGUGACUUGCUGCUGUGAAUCAGUGAAAGGGUCUACAUGAAGAAGUUAGCUGGAGAGGAGAUGAUUGCUGGAGAAAAGUCCAAAAGCACUUUGAGGACAUGAGGCCAGCUCAAAGCUGGGGUGUUGGAAUGGUGGGCAAGUCAGGAGUAUAAAGGUGACCCGGUUUGC